GACGAACGCUGGCGGCGUGCUUAACACAUGCAAGUCGAACGGAAAGGCCCUGCUUUUGUGGGGUGCUCGAGUGGCGAACGGGUGAGUAACACGUGAGUAACCUGCCCUUGACUUUGGGAUAACUUCAGGAAACUGGGGCUAAUACCGGAUAGGAGCUCCUGCUGCUUGGUGGGGGUUGGAAAGUUUCGGCGGUUGGGGAUGGACUCGCGGCUUAUCAGCUUGUUGGUGGGGUAGUGGCUUACCAAGGCUUUGACGGGUAGCCGGCCUGGGAGGGUGACCGGCCACAUUGGGCCUGAGGUACGGCCCAGACUCCAACGGGAGGCAGCAGUGGGGAAUAUUGCACAAUGGGCGGAAGCCUGAUGCAGCAACGCCGCGUGCGGGAUGACGGCCUUCGGGUUGUAAACCGCUUUCGCCUGUGACGAAGCGUGAGUGACGGUAAUGGGUAAAGAAGCACCGGCUAACUACGUG
RNAcentral lists this ribosomal RNA (468 nucleotides) under uncultured bacterium. RNAcentral's name for it is "partial 16S ribosomal RNA". It matches the Rfam family "Bacterial small subunit ribosomal RNA", at positions 28 to 507 of the family's 1533-position model. The record is from RNAcentral.